AAAUUUAAUUUGUUUGCGCAGUUCCGCACGUUGCUUAUCUACGGCUUGGCUGAAUUUGUGGCAUUGGAAGUGGAGGAAUGUAAUAAAUUAUUAAAAAUUUGUUCCCUACCUGAUUUACCCGAUGUGCAGCUUCAGGUAUGAGGGUAGUAGUGAACCUAAACUUUCUUAAAGUAUGGGGUACUCACCUUGGAAGGCUCUUGCAGCGGAAGAAGCACGGAAGUGAUUGCAGUGGUUUGGGUUGUUGAAUUAUUGACGUGGACACCAAAAUUUUGUUAUUCCAGAAUUGUUCUUCCCAAUUCAUCGAUACCCUACAUUGAAAAGCUGAAAGUACCAGAAUGGUUGACGAGGUAUGGACGUGAACACUAAAAUUUUGUUAUUCCAGAAUUGUUCUUCCCAAUUCAUGGACAUCCUACAUUGAAAAGGUGUUCCAGUAUUGGAUUUUGUGCUUCCAGAAAGGUUGGCAAAAUAAUGGUAGGAGAUACGAAUAUGGAUUGAUCGUUUCUGAGUCUAAAUCAUCUAAUCUUUUUAUUGGGAUGUUUUAAUUUUAUUUAAAUAUAAACUCGAAAGUGGGUUUAUUGAAGAAAGUAGUUGUUAAGCAACGUUUACUUUUCAACUCUUGAAAUUUAAUAUUAAUUUACAUUUGACCAAUAGUCACUUUAACAUUUCUUUAGUGCUUCCAUUUAUAUUUGUUACUUAGUCUUCUCUUUUUUUUUAAUAAUUUUAUGUAUUUCUUAUUAUAAUAUCACGUCUUCUUUACUAGCGUUUAUUUGUUUAAUACUUUUAAACUUUAAAAAAGUAUUCCAAAUUGUGAUAGCACUUUUGUACUUGUGCUUGUCUUUCAUUUUAUUUUUCUAUUAGCAAACUAAUUUAUAUUUGUUACAGACAUUUUGAAGUUCUGUAGUAUUUCAUUAUUUAUGGCAUUUUUAAUUACUAAUAGUGGUUGAUAGAUCAAUUAAUGUUGUAACCACUUCUUUUAAUAUUUUCAUCUACUUAGGUCAAGGAAAAGAAAUCAUAAACCCACUUUUAAAAUUUGAACGUAUAUUUGUAAUUAAUAUUUUUGAGAAUAUAAUAUUUUACAUACNUUA
Molecule: long non-coding RNA, 1085 nt
Organism: Agrilus planipennis (emerald ash borer)
Lineage: Eukaryota; Metazoa; Arthropoda; Insecta; Coleoptera; Buprestidae
Exons: 4
Source: RefSeq, a predicted model, not a curated record